CGAAGACUGAGUUAUGCGUGAACUUCAAUUUUUGAACCUACAUUAGCCAGUCGGGAGAUUUAUACUGAACUACCGAUACCGGGCCCAGAGUAAGUCCUUUUCAGGCAGGGGAAGGUAGAAGGGUUCAUGCGAUCACCCACCUAUCGAGAGAUAGGUGUCAAAAAAUGAAGUAACGGUUCCUCGGUUUGCAU
This 191-nucleotide non-coding RNA is filed under the name Bacillota bacterium. RNAcentral's name for it is "6S RNA". It matches the Rfam family "6S / SsrS RNA". Rfam says of the family: E. coli 6S RNA was the first non coding RNA to be sequenced, but its function was unknown until recently. It consists of 184 nucleotides that fold into an extended hairpin structure with a large single-stranded internal bulge. The record is from RNAcentral. Lineage: Bacteria; Bacillati; Bacillota.